CAAUUAUGUUUGGUCUUGCAUCAU
This 24-nucleotide non-coding RNA is filed under the name Arabidopsis thaliana (thale cress). Lineage: Eukaryota; Viridiplantae; Streptophyta; Magnoliopsida; Brassicales; Brassicaceae. The record is from RNAcentral.